CAGUCGCCGCGGUAAUACGGAGGGUGCAAGCGUUAAUCGGAAUUACUGGGCGUAAAGCGUGCGUAGGCGGUUCGUUAAGUCUGUUGUGAAAGCCCCGGGCUCAACCUGGGAAUGGCAAUGGAUACUGGCGAGCUAGAGUGUGUCAGAGGAUGGUGGAAUUCCCGGUGUAGCGGUGAAAUGCGUAGAGAUUGGGAGGAACAUCAGUGGCGAAGGCGGCCAUCUGGGACAACACUGACGCUGAGGCACGAAAGCGUGGGGAGCAAACAGGAUUAGAUACCCCCGUAGUCCCUGUCUCUUAUAC
Molecule: ribosomal RNA, 301 nt
Filed under: uncultured bacterium
Lineage: Bacteria
Description: partial 16S ribosomal RNA
Rfam family: Bacterial small subunit ribosomal RNA
Source: RNAcentral